RNAcentral lists this ribosomal RNA (468 nucleotides) under uncultured bacterium. RNAcentral describes it as "partial 16S ribosomal RNA". It matches the Rfam family "Bacterial small subunit ribosomal RNA", at positions 28 to 507 of the family's 1533-position model. The record is from RNAcentral.
GACGAACGCUGGCGGCGUGCUUAACACAUGCAAGUCGAACGGAAAGGCCCUGCUUUUGUGGUGUGCUCGAGUGGCGAACGGGUGAGUAACACGUGAGUAACCUGCCCUUGACUUUGGGAUAACUUCAGGAAACUGGGGCUAAUACCGGAUAGGAGCUCCUGCUGCAUGGUGGGGGUUGGAAAGUUUCGGCGGUUGGGGAUGGACUCGCGGCUUAUCAGCUUGUUGGUGGGGUAGUGGCUUACCAAGGCUUUGACGGGUAGCCGGCCUGAGAGGGUGACCGGCCACAUUGGGACUGAGAUACGGCCCGGACUCCUACGGGAGGCAGCAGUGGGGAAUAUUGCACAAUGGGCGGAAGCCUGAUGCAGCAACGCCGCGUGCGGGAUGACGGCCUUCGGGUUGUAAACCGCUUUCGCCUGUGACGAAGCGUGAGUGACGGUAAUGGGUAAAGAAGCACCGGCUAACUACGUG